Molecule: ribosomal RNA, 107 nt
Filed under: uncultured bacterium
Lineage: Bacteria
Description: partial 16S ribosomal RNA
Rfam family: Bacterial small subunit ribosomal RNA
Source: RNAcentral
UGAGGAAUAUUGGUCAAUGGGCGGAAGCCUGAACCAGCCAAGUCGCGUGAGGGAAUAAGGCCCUACGGGUCGUAAACCUCUUUUGCCGGGGAGCAAGGGCGGGGGAC